GACGAACGCUGGCGGCGUGCCUAAUACAUGCAAGUAGAACGCACAGUUUAUACCGUAGCUUGCUACACCAUAAACUGUGAGUUGCGAACGGGUGAGUAACGCGUAGGUAACCUGCCUGGUAGCGGGGGAUAACUAUUGGAAACGAUAGCUAAUACCGCAUAAUAUUAAUUAUUGCAUGAUAAUUGAUUGAAAGAUGCAAUUGCAUCACUACCAGAUGGACCUGCGUUGUAUUAGCUAGUAGGUGAGGUAACGGCUCACCUAGGCGACGAUACAUAGCCGACCUGAUAGGGUGAUCGGCCACACUGGGACUGAGACACGGCCCAGACUCCUACGGGAGGCAGCAGUAGGGAAUCUUCGGCAAUGGACGAAAGUCUGACCGAGCAACGCCGCGUGAGUGAAGAAGGUUUUCGGAUCGUAAAGCUCUUUUGUAAGAGAAGAACGGGUGUGAGAGUGGAAAGUUCACACUGUGACGGUAUCUUACCAGAAAGGGACGGCUAACUACGUG
Molecule: ribosomal RNA, 505 nt
Filed under: uncultured bacterium
Lineage: Bacteria
Description: partial 16S ribosomal RNA
Rfam family: Bacterial small subunit ribosomal RNA
Source: RNAcentral